GACGAACGCUGGCGGCGUGCUUAACACAUGCAAGUCGAACGGAAAGGCCCUGCUUUUGUGGGGUGCUCGAGUGGCGAACGGGUGAGUAACACGUGAGUAACCUGCCCUUGACUUUGGGAUAACUUCAGGAAACUGGGGCUAAUACCGGAUAGGAGCUCCUGCUGCAUGGUGGGGGUUGGAAAGUUUCGGCGGUUGGGGAUGGACUCGCGGCUUAUCAGCUUGUUGGUGGGGUAGUGGCUUACCAAGGCUUUGACGGGUAGCCGGCCUGAGAGGGUGACCGGCCACAUUGGGACUGAGAUACGGCCCAGACUCCUACGGGAGGCAGCAGUGGGGAAUAUUGCACAAUUGGCGGAAGCCUGAUGCAGCAACGCCGCGUGCGGGAUGACGGCCUUCGGGUUGUAAACCGCUUUCGCCUGUGACGAAGCGUGAGUGACGGUAAUGGGUAAAGAAGCACCGGCUAACUACGUG
This 468-nucleotide ribosomal RNA is filed under the name uncultured bacterium. RNAcentral describes it as "partial 16S ribosomal RNA". It matches the Rfam family "Bacterial small subunit ribosomal RNA", at positions 28 to 507 of the family's 1533-position model. The record is from RNAcentral.